UUGGAGGGCAAGUCUGGUGCCAGCAGCCGCGGUAAUUCCAGCUCCAAUAGCGUAUAUUAAAGUUGUUGCAGUUAAAAAGCUCGUAGUUGAAUUUCGGGGUUAGUAGGUUGGUCAUGCCUCUGGUAUGUACUGGUCUCACUGAUUCCUCCUUCCUUAUGAACCGUAAUGCCAUUAAUUUGGUGUUGCGGGGAAUUUGGACUGUUACUUUGAAAAAUUGAGUGUUUAAAGCAAGCUAACGCUUGAAUACAUUAGCAUGGAAUAUGAAAUAGGACG
This 273-nucleotide ribosomal RNA is filed under the name uncultured Glomus. RNAcentral describes it as "partial 18S ribosomal RNA". It matches the Rfam family "Eukaryotic small subunit ribosomal RNA", at positions 548 to 829 of the family's 1831-position model. The record is from RNAcentral. Lineage: Eukaryota; Fungi; Glomeromycota; Glomeromycetes; Glomerales; Glomeraceae.